AACUUUUAACAACGGGUCUCUUGGCUCUCGCAUCGAUGAAGAACGCAGCGAAAUGCGAUAAGUAAUGUGAAUUGCAGAAUUCAGUGAAUCAUCGAAUCUUUGAACGCACCGUGCACCCUUUGGAAUUCCGAAGGGUAUGCUCGUUUGAGUGUCAUUGUACUCUCUCACUCCUCUGAUCCUUUGGCUUCGGGGAGCGGUGGACUUGGGUGUUUGCUGCUUUCCUUGUGGCUCACCUCAAAUGCGUCAGUGCACCUCUUGGUUGGACAUAGUACGGCGUGAUAAGUGUCUUCGCCGGCACCUCGCAAGAGGGUGGCCGAUCGAGAGCUCUGUGCUUUCAAACCCUCUUCGGACAACAUCUGACAACUUGACCUCAAAUCGAGUAGGACUACCCGCUGAACUUAAGCAUAUCAAUAAGCGGAGGCU
RNAcentral lists this unclassified non-coding RNA (423 nucleotides) under uncultured Exidiaceae. Its description in RNAcentral is "sequence contains ITS2". The stretch from base 1 to 154 matches the Rfam family "5.8S ribosomal RNA". The record is from RNAcentral. Lineage: Eukaryota; Fungi; Basidiomycota; Agaricomycetes; Auriculariales.